GACGAACGCUGGCGGCGUGCCUAAUACAUGCAAGUCGAACGCUUCUUUCCUCCCGAGUGCUUGCACUCAAUUGGAAAGAGGAGUGGCGGACGGGUGAGUAACACGUGGGUAACCUACCCAUCAGAGGGGGAUAACACUUGGAAACAGGUGCUAAUACCGCAUAACAGUUUAUGCCGCAUGGCAUAAGAGUGAAAGGCGCUUUCGGGUGUCGCUGAUGGAUGAACCCGCGGUGCAUUAGCUAGUUGGUGAGGUAACGGCUCACCAAGGCCACGAUGCAUAGCCGACCUGAGAGGGUGAUCGGCCACACUGGGACUGAGACACGGCCCAGACUCCUACGGGAGGCAGCAGUAGGGAAUCUUCGGCAAUGGACGAAAGUCUGACCGAGCAACGCCGCGUGAGUGAAGAAGGUUUUCGGAUCGUAAAACUCUGUUGUUAGAGAAGAACAAGGACGUUAGUAACUGAACGUCCCCUGACGGUAUCUAACCAGAAAGCCACGGCUAACUACGUGCCAGCAGCCGCGGUAAUACGUAGGUGGCAAGCGUUGUCCGGAUUUAUUGGGCGUAAAGCGAGCGCAGGCGGUUUCUUAAGUCUGAUGUGAAAGCCCCCGGCUCAACCGGGGAGGGUCAUUGGAAACUGGGAGACUUGAGUGCAGAAGAGGAGAGUGGAAUUCCAUGUGUAGCGGUGAAAUGCGUAGAUAUAUGGAGGAACACCAGUGGCGAAGGCGGCUCUCUGGUCUGUAACUGACGCUGAGGCUCGAAAGCGUGGGGAGCAAACAGG
This 777-nucleotide ribosomal RNA is filed under the name uncultured Lactobacillales bacterium. Its description in RNAcentral is "bacterial SSU rRNA". It matches the Rfam family "Bacterial small subunit ribosomal RNA", at positions 28 to 776 of the family's 1533-position model. Lineage: Bacteria; Bacillati; Bacillota; Bacilli; Lactobacillales. The record is from RNAcentral.